ACACACACACACUCUGAAACACACACACUCUGAAACACACACACACACACUCUAAAACACACACACACACACACACUCUGAAACACACACACACACACUCUGAAACACACACACACACACACACACUCUGAAACACACACACACACACUCUGAAACACACACACACUCUGAAACACACUCACACACACUCUGCAACACACACACACACACUCACACACACUCUGAAACACACACACACACACUCACACACACUCUGAAACACACUCACACACUCUGAAACACACACACACACUCUGAAACACACUCACACACUCUGAAACACACACACACACACUCUGAAACACACACACACACUCUGAAACACACACACACACUCUAAAACACACACACACACACUCUAAAACACACACACUCACACACACUCUGAAACACACUCACACACACUCUGAAACACACACACACACACACACUCUGAAACACACACACACACACUCUGAAACACACUCACACACUCUGAAACACACACACACACUCUAAAACACACACACACACACUCUAAAACACACACACUCACACACACUCUGAAACACACUCACACACACUCUGAAACACACACACACACACACACUCUGAAACACACACACACACACUCUGAAACACACUCACACACUCUGAAACACACUCACACACUCUAAAACACACAAACACACACUCUAAAACACACACACACACACACACACACACACACACACACACUCUAAACUCUAAUAGCCUACACGCUAAUAGCCUACACGCAAAUAGCCUACACGUUAAUCGCCUACACGCUAAUAGCCUGCACGCUAAUAGUCUACACGCUAAUAGCUUACACGCAAAUAGCCUACACGCUAAUCGCCUACGCGCUAAAAGUCUACACGCUAAUCGUCUACACGCUAAUAGCCUACACGCUAAUCGUCUACACGCUAAUAGUCUACACGCUAAUCGCCUACCCGCUAAUCGCCUACGCGCUAAUAGCCUACGCGCUAAUAGCCUACAUGCUAAUCACCUACACGCUAAUAGCCUACACGCUAAUAGCCUACAUGCUAAUCGCCUACACGCUAAUAGCCUACACGCUAAUCGCCUACACGCUAAUAGCCUACACGCUAAUAGCCUACACGCUAAUAGCCUACACGCUAAUCGCCUACACGCUAAUAGGCUACACGCUAAUAGCCUACACGCUAAUAGGCUACACGCUUUUGGGAACUGGCAGAAAAAGUUGACGUUAUUACAAAAAGGACAAUGUCAGAAUUAAAUUCAAUAAGAGAAAAGCUGUGAAGUGGAUAGUUGAAAAUAGACAGAAACUGAAAUCUGGACACUGACUGUAGGAUCUAUAACCUCUCAUAUAGCCUUACUGUAGGAUCUAUAACCUCUCAUAUAGCCUUACUGUAGG
Molecule: long non-coding RNA, 1426 nt
Filed under: Salmo salar (Atlantic salmon)
Lineage: Eukaryota; Metazoa; Chordata; Actinopteri; Salmoniformes; Salmonidae
Description: lncRNA (ENSSSAG00000097849.1)
Source: RNAcentral